RNAcentral lists this ribosomal RNA (497 nucleotides) under uncultured bacterium. RNAcentral's name for it is "partial 16S ribosomal RNA". It matches the Rfam family "Bacterial small subunit ribosomal RNA", at positions 28 to 507 of the family's 1533-position model. The record is from RNAcentral.
GAUGAACGCUGGCGGCGUGCCUAAUACAUGCAAGUCGAGCGAACAGACGAGGAGCUUGCUCCUCUGACGUUAGCGGCGGACGGGUGAGUAACACGUGGAUAACCUACCUAUAAGACUGGGAUAACUUCGUGAAACCGGAGCUAAUACCGGAUAAUAUAUUGAACCGCAUGGUUCAAUAGUGAAAGACGGUUUUGCUGUCACUUAUAGAUGGAUCCGCGCCGCAUUAGCUAGUUGGUAAGGUAACGGCUUACCAAGGCAACGAUGCGUAGCCGACCUGAGAGGGUGAUCGGCCACACUGGAACUGAGACACGGUCCAGACUCCUACGGGAGGCAGCAGUAGGGAAUAUUCCGCAAUGGGCGAAAGCCUGACGCAGCAACGCCGCGUGAGUGAUGAAGGUCUUCGGAUCGUAAAACUCUGUUAUUAGGGAAGAACAAAUGUGUAAGUAACUAUGCACGUCUUGACGGUACCUAAUCAGAAAGCCCCGGCUAACUACGUG